This 99-nucleotide small nuclear RNA is filed under the name Meriones unguiculatus (Mongolian gerbil). Lineage: Eukaryota; Metazoa; Chordata; Mammalia; Rodentia; Muridae. The record is from RNAcentral.
AUGCUCACUUCUGCACAUGCGCUACAACUGGAAUGAAACAAAGAUCAGCCAGGCCCCUGGGCAAGGCCAACACUCAUCUGUAAAACAUUCCUUAUUUAU